CCCUUAGAUGUUCUGGGCGGCCCGCGCACUACAUUGGCACUAGCAAAGAGAUCCUAGAUUGAAUUCUUUGGGGUAUUCUUCUAAAUGGUGUCGUGACUGGGAUAAAUCCUUGUAAUUAUUGGUUUUGAACGAGGAAUUCCUUGUAAUCGCGGUUUAUCAGCUCGCGUUGAAUGCGUCCCUGCCCUUUGUACACACCGCCCGUCGCUCCUACCGAUGGAUCGUCCGGUGAGGCUCACGGAGUGACUGUUCACGCAACGGUUUACGAAGUGAAAUGGACCUCACGAUUUAGAGGAAGGAGAAGUCGUAACA
RNAcentral lists this ribosomal RNA (309 nucleotides) under uncultured eukaryote. Its description in RNAcentral is "partial 18S ribosomal RNA". It matches the Rfam family "Eukaryotic small subunit ribosomal RNA", at positions 1470 to 1796 of the family's 1831-position model. The record is from RNAcentral.